This 786-nucleotide ribosomal RNA is filed under the name uncultured Roseateles sp. RNAcentral describes it as "bacterial SSU rRNA". It matches the Rfam family "Bacterial small subunit ribosomal RNA", at positions 8 to 796 of the family's 1533-position model. Lineage: Bacteria; Pseudomonadati; Pseudomonadota; Betaproteobacteria; Burkholderiales; Sphaerotilaceae. The record is from RNAcentral.
AGAGUUUGAUCAUGGCUCAGAUUGAACGCUGGCGGCAUGCCUUACACAUGCAAGUCGAACGGUAACAGGUUAAGCUGACGAGUGGCGAACGGGUGAGUAAUAUAUCGGAACGUGCCCAGUCGUGGGGGAUAACUGCUCGAAAGAGCAGCUAAUACCGCAUACGACCUGAGGGUGAAAGCGGGGGAUCGCAAGACCUCGCGCGAUUGGAGCGGCCGAUAUCAGAUUAGGUAGUUGGUGGGGUAAAGGCCCACCAAGCCAACGAUCUGUAGCUGGUCUGAGAGGACGACCAGCCACACUGGGACUGAGACACGGCCCAGACUCCUACGGGAGGCAGCAGUGGGGAAUUUUGGACAAUGGGCGCAAGCCUGAUCCAGCCAUGCCGCGUGCGGGAAGAAGGCCUUCGGGUUGUAAACCGCUUUUGUCAGGGAAGAAAAGGUUCUGGUUAAUACCUGGGACUCAUGACGGUACCUGAAGAAUAAGCACCGGCUAACUACGUGCCAGCAGCCGCGGUAAUACGUAGGGUGCAAGCGUUAAUCGGAAUUACUGGGCGUAAAGCGUGCGCAGGCGGUUAUGCAAGACAGAGGUGAAAUCCCCGGGCUCAACCUGGGAACUGCCUUUGUGACUGCAUGGCUAGAGUACGGUAGAGGGGGAUGGAAUUCCGCGUGUAGCAGUGAAAUGCGUAGAUAUGCGGAGGAACACCGAUGGCGAAGGCAAUCCCCUGGACCUGUACUGACGCUCAUGCACGAAAGCGUGGGGAGCAAACAGGAUUAGAUACCCCAGUAGUCC